AGAAAUAACUGGGGGCAUGGAGAAUGCGGUGGCUGUAAAGGGCCGCUGAGGCGGUGGAGGCCUGGCAGAGAGCGUCCCCGCGGUCGCGGCUUCUGGCUUCUCUGUGGAGCUUGGUUCUUCCGUGGUGGUGCAGCACCCCAGGAACUUCAGGAACCAGUCCUUCCUUGGAGAGCUCCCCGGGACAGCCACGGGGGCCAAGUGAAACUAGCGCGUUUUCUUGGAUCCUACACUUUAUAGUGAGUCAUAAAUACUUUAAAUACAAAGCCAACAACAUUUGCUGCAAAUAAACGUAAAAAUACUGUUAAAGUGUAAAGUGUUUUCCUCCGUACCAUCUGACGUUUCUGGCGGUUCGUUGAACGCGAGAGAACGCUGAGCCGUCUGCACUGAGCCCGGGAGCAUCUUCAGGGCAGCGCCGCCCACGCGCGAGGUGAAUGAAGGACACGGCCUCUUGACACUCCCAGGCAGCACAGAUAGACGGAUCCGUAAGUGGCUCCCGCGCAUGUUAAAAUUUGUAUACUGUAAGGUAUUUCAUGGAUUGAGUGAAAUACCUGACAGGGCCUGUAUCCGUUCCCUAUUGCCACAAUAACCAAAAACCACAAACUUUGUAGCUUGAAACAGCACAAAUUUAUCAUCUGACAGACAAUGCAUUUAUUAUCUCACGGUUCUGUAGAUCAGAAGUGCUACCUGGGUGUCACCCGGGCUGCACUCCUUUCUGGUGACUCCACAGGACAAUCCUUAGCUUGCCUUUGCCAGCUUCUGUCCACAUUCCUUGGCUUUGGUCCCUUCCUCCAUCUUCAAAGCCAGUGAUAUGCCAUCUCUCUGAACCUUCCAUCCUCAAGUCUACCGCUGAUUGCAGCUGGAAAAGAUUCUGAGGGCUCACCUGAGUAAUCCAGGAUCAUCUUCCCAUUUCCAGGUCUCUGCCCUUGAUCACAUCAGCAGAAUCCUUUUGCCAUUGGCUAGAAGUGACCCCAGGAUUUUUUUAUUAUCAAGAGAGACUAGAAGAAUCAUGAGACUUUUCCUAGUUGCCUUUCAAGAAUAUGAAGAAAAAAAUGGUUCUCAAAGUGGGUUUGAAUGAGUAUUGUUCCAAUAAAUGAACUUAUAUUCAUAUUUCAUCCCCUGAGUCCUGGUGUUUCAACAUCCAUUAGAAC
RNAcentral lists this long non-coding RNA (1148 nucleotides) under Homo sapiens (human). RNAcentral describes it as "ERCC6L2 antisense RNA 1". The record is from RNAcentral. Lineage: Eukaryota; Metazoa; Chordata; Mammalia; Primates; Hominidae.